AUGUUCUGGCUUCUUUUCAGUGCCGAAUAAAUCUUUCGCCUUUUAUUAAAGACUUCCGUGGAGAGGAGCAAUCUAAUGAAUCUAAACUAGUUUUUUGGACCUGAAAAAUUGGUGAUCGU
Hermetia illucens (black soldier fly) is the source of this 119-nucleotide small nuclear RNA. RefSeq annotates it as U5 spliceosomal RNA. The transcript has a single exon. NCBI's taxonomy places the organism in Eukaryota, Metazoa, Arthropoda, Insecta, Diptera, Stratiomyidae. The record is from RefSeq and is a predicted model, not a curated record.